GUGUCUUGUAGAAUGUCUUAGCCGUUUAGGCUGAAUUGAAAUACAACUUUCAACAACGGAUCUCUUGGCUCUCGCAUCGAUGAAGAACGCAGCGAAAUGCGAUAAGUAAUGUGAAUUGCAGAAUUCAGUGAAUCAUCGAAUCUUUGAACGCACCUUGCGCUCCUUGGCUAUUCCGAGGAGCAUGCCUGUUUGAGUGUCAUGUUAAUCUCAACCCCUUCGGUUUUGUAAUGAGACUGGUUGGGUGUUGGACUUGGAGGUCUUUGCUGGCUCGUUUAGAGAGUCGGCUCCUCUAGAAUGCAUUAGCUUUGGACCUGUGCGCGUGCUUAGCGGUGUAAUAGGCUUUUAUUCACCACAUGAGCGCGUUGUUCACUCUUAGGGUCUGCUUCUAAUCGUCUUCGGACAAAUUCACUUUUGACUCUGACCUCAAAUCAGGUAGGACUACCCGCUGAACUUAAGCAUAUCAAUAAGCGGAGGAAAAGAAACUAACAAGGAUUCCCCUAGUAACUGCGAGUGAAGCGGGAAAAGCUCAAAUUUAAAAUCUGGCGGUUUUGCUGCCCGAGUUGUAAUCUGGAGAAGCGUCUUCCGUGC
Molecule: ribosomal RNA, 588 nt
Filed under: uncultured fungus
Lineage: Eukaryota; Fungi
Description: eukaryotic LSU rRNA
Rfam family: 5.8S ribosomal RNA (bases 45-199)
Source: RNAcentral